Molecule: RNA transcript, 3584 nt
Organism: Mauremys reevesii (Reeves's turtle)
Lineage: Eukaryota; Metazoa; Chordata; Testudines; Geoemydidae
Gene: RFXAP
Gene name: regulatory factor X associated protein
Exons: 4
Source: RefSeq, a predicted model, not a curated record
GCCGGGGCCCGCCGCCGCCUCCUCCUCGCCCCCCCAGCUGACGCUGCUGGUGAUGCAGCCGUGCAGCGGCGACGAGGAGGCGGCGGCGGCGGGGGGCACCGGGCGGCACCAGGGCCCCGCGCAGGCCCCGGAGACCUCCGGAGGCCUCGUGUUCCUGUGCGAGGUCUGCCCCAGCGAGGGCGAGGGGGACGCGGCCGAGGAGGGCGAGCCGGCGGGCGGCGAGAGCACGGCCAGCCCCGAGGAGCUGGAGGACGACGAGGCGGCGGCGGCCUCCGGCGGGGAGGCCCCCGCGGGGGGCGGGGGCUGCAAGAGCUGCACGUACCAGGGCUGCAGCGAGACCACCACGCAGGUGGCCAAGCAGCGCAAGCCCUGGAUGUGCAAGCGCCACCGCAACAAGAUGUACAAGGACAAGUACAAGCGCAAGAAGAGCGACCAGGCCCUGGGCGGCGGGGCCGGGGCGCCCCCAGCGCAGGGCGGGGCUGCCACCCCGGGGGGCAGCGCGCGGGCCGAGGAUUGUGUUGAUGGCUCAGUUUCUGUUACAAAACAAAGAACAGGGUCUAUUGGAGAUCGCCCAGCAAGACCUACUCUUUUAGAACAAGUAUUGAAUCAGAAAAGGCUGUCAUUAUUAAGAAGUCCGGAGGUGGUACAGUUUCUGCAGAAACAGCAGCAACUGUUAAGUCAACAAGCUUUGGAACAAAGGCAGCAACAGUUUCCAGGAGCACCUGUGUGAUGAGGACAAAGAUCUGCAGCAGAAUCUCAUGCUGAAGUGGUGGAGGGAUAUGUAUCUUACAUAAGUGAAAAAAGGUUAUACAACUGAGUGACUGCGUACAUGAGUCUAACUCAGACUAUGUGGGAGUAAGAAGGAACUGGAGAGGCGUUGACCCUCACUGCCUCUUAUACCCUAGGUCAAGAGCACAAGGAGAUCUACUGUGCAUGUGCGGGCCAACGGACACUGCUAUGAAAAAAUUCCAGACUUGGGUGCACGGUGCAAAUGCAUACCCACAUGUGGAAUACACAUAGGGACCAGCACUCGAAAAAGAACAAUAGGCCUUCCUGCUCUGAAGAAUAUAUAAUAAUUCUUUGGCUAAGAAUUUUUCCCUGGGAAGCAGUACAAAUACUUGUAUAUUUUCAGUUUCUCCAGCAGCAGAUUUACCUCCAUUGGGCAAUGAUAGCACUAACUGAUUGUCAGCUGUUGCAUCCACUGAUCGUCCAUUUUGGUUUCCUGGUGUUUCUCUUGCAUUGUAAGGUGGGGGUGUUUCAACUAAAAAACAGAAAGACACUGAGAUCAGCAAGUUGGUAAAUUCUACCCAGGUCUGCCUGGGAACUAUUCAGCAUAGUUUUAACUAGAGAAGGGUCCAAAACAGAACCCGAGUCUGAAUCCCUGCCCUCCUCAAACUCCAGGUCAAACCCCUGGAGAUGCACCUGUCCCUAUGGUUUAGACUCUGUGUCAGGUCCAAAGGCAGACGAGUCCUAAUUUCCAAAUACAGAUUGGAUGUGGCCCAAGAUGACAGAAAUUUCAGCUUUGAUUUUGGCACUGGUUAGUCUGCACCCAGACCCAGUUUUGCCUCAAACCCAAACUCCAUGGAAAGAGACUGGCAUCCAUCUUAAGGGUGGAGUUCCAUAAGUGGGCUCCCUGAACCCAGCCUGCUUCACAUGGAAUCCUGGUGAGGAUGCAGAGCAAAGACACACUAGCUGACCUCAACUGCCUUGACAGGGGGAGAGAGCCGCACACAGGCCUAGACUAAUAUACAGUCAGCAAGACCUGGAAAUGAAUCAGAUGGAUUACAGGCAGAAUGUGGAAUCCAGGAAUUGCUACCUGCCUUGCCCUAUGCCAUGAAGCAAAUGAGAGCCAUUGCAUUCUGCAGCCACUGUAGCCUCUGGAUCAGAUUCAAGCAAAGACCAAACAGGACUGAAUUACAAUAGUCUAGCCAGGAGGUGAGGAACGUGGGUAUAGCUGUAGUGAAUUCUGCAUUUGACAGAACUGGGCAAUUUCCAGGUCUAGUGAUAGCCACUGUGAAGUAGUGUUGUACUAGGAGUUUCCAUUCUGGAAAGCAAUGCAGAAUGACCCCUAUUCUCCUGACCUCCCUCGCAAGUGGUGGCCUCGCCCAGUGCAUAACAGAGGUGCAUAAAGCAUCCACAACCACUUCAAAAUGGGAGGUGCCAGAAACAUGACAUAAGCUUUAUCGGGACUGAGUUUCAGCCAACUGUCCCCCAUCUAAACAAAUCUGUCUGCAAGACAACCAAGAGAUAGUUAAAGCAGGACAACAGGAAAGGAGGCACAGAGGUAAAAGUCACUAGUAUCACUCCAUAUCCCAGUCCAUACCCUUAUCUCCCAUCAGGCUCAUACACGUUCAACAAGAUAAGGAACUGAACAGACAUAGCAGGGAAACUGGACAAUGAUGAGCUCUUAGCUUUUAGGAAUUCUCUUCUACAAGGCAGCUCAGUCACAGAAGAGUCGUGACAACACCCACACCUACCAUGGACCACAGCUAGGCUACCAACACCUAGUGAUAGGCCUAACAUAAUUAGCAGGGAGCAGACGCCUUAGUCCCUUACUGGCAGAUCUUCCACCAUGUUAAUCAGAACUCUCUGGGUCAUGAAAUGGUCUGGUUCUAGAUGUACAAAGAUGUAUUUAAACAAAAAUGAUCUAAUCCAGGUGGGAUUAACCCAAUCCCCACUGUCUCAAUAACCGCUCUCACAAAUGGAGGUGCAGAGGCUGGCCAGUAAUUUGCAGAAUGAAUAUUUUAGAACAGAGGCUGCAGUUCCACACAUGUAUGUGCAGAGGGAGUCUGGCCUCUCAAACGUUUGAUCACCUCCACUAGUACCUUCCCUCUAGCCUUAACCAACCAAGAUAAUCUAUGGCAUUGGCAGCUGGCUACCAAUGACAGCCUGCCUCUCAGAAAGAGACACAAGCUGAUGACACUCACGCAGGACAGAAGGGGUAUUCAUCCCCUCACACUGUGGAGAGGGCCAACUCUCUUCUGACCAAUCUUCUUGUUAAAGAACCAUAUGCACUAAUGAAAAAUAAACAAAUGAACUACAAAAACAGCCCUCCUAAUUCCCAAAUUGUUUCAUUUACAGAACAGCAGCCUAGGAACAGGAAAGCAUCCUCCAUUCUAAUAUAUGCCAAGAAGGAAUAGAGUGUGUUGGAAAGCUGAAAUAAAGACCUUGUUUUCAUGUUAGAAAACACAGAUGUAGACCUCGAUCCUGCAAACACUUAAGCAUGGGAGUCAAUUUAUUCAUGGGAGUAGUAACUUAAUGGGACUACAAACAAGUAAAGUUGCACAGGUGUUUACAUGUUUGCAGGACUAAUAAAAGUAUUUAGGUUGAAAUUCACUCCUGUGCAGAGAGACAGCAAAAGACAUCUAUGUCGACCUGGCUUGAUGUGAGUAAUUGGGCAUGGGUGAGAGUUGAUUUAUUUGGAGAUAGGAUUAGAGAGGAAAAUGGAUCAGCAGGCUGAAAAUGGCAUGUCUGCACCGGCUAAGGUAAGUGGGAAAACACCCAGGGAACCAUUUACAAUGGACAAGCUAAGUCGGAAACAUAAAGAUGGGGUAAAGAAUAAGUUGUACAUGCACAGAGCAUGC